CUGAGCUGUUGGCUUUAAUUCUGCAUUUCUUGCUCCUGAGGCUUUGAAAAACAAAGCACGCUUGGGGCGGGCUCACUUGGGGAAAAGACGGGAGCUCUGGUCUUAUCCUGAAGCAUCACAGUCUGCUCAGAGGAGAGUUAUGGACUCUUCCAAUGCUGGCUGGUCUUGAACUCCUGACCUCAUGAUCUGCCUGCCUCGACCUCCCAAAGUGCUGGGAUUACAGGUGUUAGUCACCAUGCCUGGCCGAGAAAAGAAGAUUUAAGAAAGGAAGCUAGAAGUUGUUCAUCGAAGGGAAGAGAAUCAGGAAAUGGUAAAAGUCACAGAUAUUAAGCAGAAAGUACUCAUUCCCUAAAGCCAGGAUUGAACCCUGGCCACCACUGUAAAAUGGUGGAGACCAAAAGAAAGGACUGCCACGUGGUUACAAGGUCAAGCUGCCAAGGACAUAAGACAAGAUGGAGACCUGCAGCACAGUUCGUUACUGACCAGUUUGCGGGGCUGGCUUGAACAGUGGGCUCAUGGGGUACUAGGCCAUGCUCUAUCCUCAGGUAUUCCUCCUUAUGACAGAACCAUGCAGAAAGACACACAAAGUACACCAGAUUGGCUGCAGCUUAAGAUUAGCCUCACAAAUCCUUUUUUUCCAUGCAUCAAAAUCUUACAGAGGAUAUAAACAGUGAUUUUCUCAUUCAUUCAACUGGUUUGCACAGGGAGAGGGAGACCAGAAGUCUGACUGGUAAGAAAUCUUUACCCUUUUGCUGGCAUUUCAGGCUUCUGAGUUCCCUUCACCCAAGCUCAAUUUUAAGCCAAGCAUUUUAAGGGUUGGGGAAAUUAACUCUUCCCAGUUUGGGGGACACAUCCAAGGGGAAUGUCCUAUGUUAGGUACAGGGACACAAUUACCCAUCCCCAAAGAGAGGACAGAGGAGGAAAAAGCAGAAAGAAGGCAUUUUUUUUUUCCAAAAGAAUCACAGUGAUUCAGGAGGCAUUUCAGAGAAGUACAGACUGAAGAAGAUUGGUUACCCAUCUCGAAAGAGGGGAAGAAAGUGUCCCUAGUUACUUUCUCUUCCCAGUGAAUACUCAGGGUAUGUGAGGGAGAGAAAGAAGAGGCAUCUCCAUUUGUUUUUUGGGUCCUUACAUCCCUGAGUCCCAGUGACCUUGGCAGGGUGCUGCCCAUGGGUGCCAAUGAGGCUUUCACCCAUGUUAACAGGGGGUGCCUAGGGGAUGGGAAUUAUCUGCAUUUGCCCACAUGCUGCCUGUCCCCCAUGCUAUCAGUAACCUUUGGGUUCCCCAGACCUCAUUUAUGGCAUGGAUACUAGCAUGACCUCUAUCCUUGAAAUAAGGGGGACUUAAUCAGCAGGAAUUAGUCAGUCACGCUCACCUGUGCUGUGCCCCUUGACUUCCAUUGUCAUCUGCCUCUGGAUCCCUCAGAUCCCGUUUUCCUUACUAGGGCUUCAGUCUGAAGCUUGGAAUUGAGUUUGAGACAAAAAGCUGCCUCAGGAGGGUUUAUGGACUCAUCAAGUCCCAGGUGGUCCUCACCAGACUGCAGCCAGCAGCCAACAGCCAACAGGGUCGCUCCUCUGCUGCUUCCUUAUCCUCCGAGACCAUGAUCAUUCUCCCUCCUGAAACAAUGAAAGCAUGGCUUUGAGAAGAGGCGUACCACCUGAGGUUCUGUGGCCAGGACAUGGCAGACUGGGACUAGAGCUGGACAUUUUGCCCCAAGGUGAUGGAUCCCAUCCUGAGCCUUAUACACUUGAGGAAUUUUCUCUACCUUCCUCACACAGAAGCCACUUGCUCACUUGUGUUCCAUCUUGUGUGCUUGAGCUGACAUGUGCAUACACCACCUGUUAUGGGCUGAAGUGUGUCCCUGCCCCAAAUUUAGAUGUUGAAGUCCUCACUCUCAGCACCUUAGAACCUAACCAUGUUUGAAGAAAAAAUCUUCUGAGAGGUAAUUAAGCUACAAUGAAGGCUUCAGGGUGGGCCUUAAUCCAAUGUGACUGGUGUGCUUAUAAGAAGAGGAAAUUUGGACCCAUGGAAAGACAACAGAAGCAUACACAGACAGAGGGACACCGCGUGAAGACACUGUGAAAAGGUGGCCAUCUGCAAGCCAUGGGGAGAAGCCUUGAGAGAAACUAGCCCUGCCAAUGCCUUGAUUUUGGACUGCUAGCCUCUAUAACUGUGAGAAAAUAAAUCUCUGUUGU
RNAcentral lists this long non-coding RNA (2192 nucleotides) under Homo sapiens (human). RNAcentral describes it as "HSALNT0360340". Lineage: Eukaryota; Metazoa; Chordata; Mammalia; Primates; Hominidae. The record is from RNAcentral.